RNAcentral lists this Y RNA (102 nucleotides) under Microcebus murinus (gray mouse lemur). RNAcentral's name for it is "Y RNA (ENSMICG00000047138.1)". It matches the Rfam family "Y RNA". Rfam says of the family: Y RNAs are components of the Ro ribonucleoprotein particle (Ro RNP), in association with Ro60 and La proteins. The Y RNAs and Ro60 and La proteins are well conserved, but the function of the Ro RNP is not known. In humans the RNA component can be one of four small RNAs -- hY1, hY3, hY4 and hY5. Lineage: Eukaryota; Metazoa; Chordata; Mammalia; Primates; Cheirogaleidae. The record is from Rfam by way of RNAcentral.
AGCUGGUCAAGGUGCAGUGGUGUUUAUAACUAAUUCAUCACAACCAGUGACAGAUUCCUUUGUUCCUUCUCCACCCCCACUGCUCCUCUUGACUAGCCUUUA